RNAcentral lists this unclassified non-coding RNA (908 nucleotides) under Hevea brasiliensis (rubber tree). Lineage: Eukaryota; Viridiplantae; Streptophyta; Magnoliopsida; Malpighiales; Euphorbiaceae. The record is from RNAcentral.
GCAGGGUCAAAAGUAGGCUCAUCAUCAUCAUUUUCGCUGGCGUGGCUAUUAUUAGACCGAUAAUUAGGAGGGAAAACCCGAAACAAAUUAACAGCACAUGUUUUACACAAUGCAAGAAUUGCAGGUUCUGAAAAUUUGGGUGGAUUAGCAGAUACAAAAUCCAAAAGCUCAAAUAAUGUAGCCCUUUUUAGUUCCUUUUCUGCUACAUUCUUAGUUGGGUCCCUGAAAUCAAAGUCUACACAGCAGAGACUUAACUUACUGAUAAAAAGAUUCAUCUUUUCAGAGCUGGGAACAUCUUUGAAGGAAAUCAAAGGCUCGAUCCCUGCAAUCACACUUGCUGGGAACACAACUGAGGAAGUCCUCCUUGGAACACUAUUAGGCCUUCCAGGGCCUAAAUUUGAGCUUGCAUUCGGACUGUUUGAGUCUGAAUUGCCUCUUCCUGAGUCUACUGACUCAGAUUUCAGUGAUUUCUUCGGAAGCUUACUCAGAAAAUGCUUCCACAUGGUGCUUUUCACAAACUUUUAACACAAAAACAGACUCAAAACAGAUAAAAGAGGGUGAAAAAACACUCAAAUCAAGAUAUUACUGGUAAAGGGCAACAACCCUAGAGCUGUAAUACACAACCAAGAUCUAAACCAAAACCCCAUUGGCUAAAAAAUCUGCAAACUUUAAGCUAAACCACAAAAUGGGGGUGCCAUUAUCUUCAGCAAGAAGAAAGAAAAAUCAAAUCUUUCCUCAAACUAACUUAAAGGGUGGUUCAGAUCUUGAUUUACAAAUAGGGAAAAGAUUGAAAAAAAAUGCAAGAAUCAUGCAAAGCUGAAGCCUUUUUUGCUCAAUUUACAACCUUGGAUUCUUUAAAUAAAAAGAGAGAGAGCCCAGAUCUCAUACACAUUCAUUAUAACUAUUUA